Molecule: long non-coding RNA, 2401 nt
Organism: Equus caballus (horse)
Lineage: Eukaryota; Metazoa; Chordata; Mammalia; Perissodactyla; Equidae
Source: Ensembl
GCUUUCAGCUGUUCCUCCAAAACACAUCCUGUCUGUAGCCAACUCCCCACCUCCACUCCUGCCUCCACGGCCCACUCACCCCUCCUCUUACCUGAAAGACUGCAAUAGCCUUGUAGUGGGUGUUCCUGCUUUGUUCUCCCCUCACCACAUCCACUCUCCUCAACGCAACCGGAGGAGCUUUAAAAAUGUUAAUCAGAUCAAGUUUCUCCAUAGCUUAAAACCCCAUCCACCACCUGCAAGGCUGUCUGUGAUCCAGUCCCUCCCUACUUCUCCACCCUGACCUCCUCUCUGUUCCCGGAACAGCACCAAAUUCACUUCUGGCUCAGGGCCUUUGCACAUGCUGUUCCCUGCCCUCCUUCUCUCAACAGGCUUCUUGUAUCAUUCAAAUCUCAAGUCAAAUGUAACCCUUUCAGAGAAGGCUUUCUUCACUCCCACUCCUAGCCACUCUGUCAUAUCACCCUUGCACUCACCACAGUAAUUGCCUUGUUCUUUAUCGAUUUCCUGCCUCUCUACACUUGAUUGAAAACUCCUUGAGAGGGGGCCACGUUUCCCUCAUUUACUGCUGACUCCCCAGCACCUAAAGUAAUGCUUGGCCCACAGGGUGUAUUACAUGCCUGAUGGUGCGGUUUCCUAUGAAUAUUGUGGAAAGAGAAAAUGAAGGAGUGAGUGAAUUAUUCUUUAUCAAAAACAAAGCACCAAAAUUUUCUCUCAAAGCAGAAACUGGACAGUUAAAACACAGAAACAGAAUUUAAUGAGUUUGUAAUGAGACAGUGAGCUCCGUGAGAGUAGCUCCCACCUCUCCUGUUAAUGAUAUAUACCAGGGCCCAGAGCAAAACUUGGUACAGAACUGACACCAUGUAGGGAACAAACCAGACCACGGACCAGGCCACGUUAGGGGUUGGUGUGUUUCUGGGUGGAAGAGCCUGCUCAGCCAGGGCCGGCAGGGCAAGCUGUCCUCUCUGAGCCGACAGGGAAGCCUGGCGACGCUGGGGAAUUUGAGAGUCCCCGCCUGGCAUGCACUCCCCUUGAAAGGAUUGUCAGGAAACUGGAGGCCUCUCUGAAUUUGGAGAGGAUGAUUUAGUUCCUACUUGAUUGCUCUCCUCCUAACUCCCUCUCUCCAUGAAGCUCCUUGAAUAUAAAUUCAGGAAUUUAUCAUCGUAGCAUUAUUGUCUGCUUCUAACCAGUAACUCCUCCUUUAUAAAAAUGGGGGCUCUGGACUAGAUCUCUCAAUUCCCUUCAGAGCCAACAUUUGAUGGUUUUAAGUGAAAAUGUGUUCCACCUGGAACCAAGGGGCGUUCAGCUCAAGCCUCUAAAAAACACAGUUCAAGCUUAACUGGAAGGACCUGGAGAGCUAGUCACAGCCGCUGCCUCACAGCAGGUCCCAGGUAACGAGGCCCCUCUCACCUGACCUGAGCGUGGUAGGAGACAGCACGUGAUGAUUCUGAAGCCCAUAUCCUGUCCCCUCCAGGGCUUGGCAUUCUGUUUCCUGGAACUUCUCCGCUCUAAGCGGAGAUACUAUUAAAGAAUGUUUUAAACUGAGGAAUGAGAAAUAUUCUCCACGUGAGUUUUUAAAGUCCACGUGUGAGACUGGUGGUUCUUAAGCUCAAAGUCACCUGCAGUGCUUGUUAAAAUUGCAGUCUGCGGCUCAAUUCCAGCGCUCUGACUCAGUGGAUUUGCAUUUCCAGAGCUUCUAGGUGAUUCUGGAGCAAAUUUGUGGUGGAAAACUACCUGGUGCUACCUGGUAUGUAGGAGGCUGCGCUCCGCAGGGACCUGGCCUUAAACAGGCUCGGAGCCCCGCCCUCGCUGGCUUCCUGUGGCCUGUGAGGCCCGGGGAUCCGAGCAGCCUCUUCACUGACCGGCUUCAGGCCACUGGGUUCCACAAUUGCAUCAGUGAUCCGAACAGCCUGUCUCCUCAGUGCCAAACAGCUGGACACUUAGAGAGGGGAGGCCAUUCAUGUCCAGACAUACAGGGUCCUACCAUGUCCCUCAUCAGGCCACCAACUCCCUAAAGACAGAGGCUUCAUCUUCCAUUUCUUUUUCAUCUUCCUGGGCAAGGCGUACAGUCAAUUGGGCCCCAUCAACCCAGCUGCAGAUAAGGGUCCCCUUCAGCUGAAUAGUGGACCAAAUAGGAUAGAAGCAGCCUGGGAACAGGACCUAGACUCGUCUCCUGAGAUGAGGGACAUGCUGCAGAGAGAAGAUGGCGAUGGCAACUUGAGGAGGAAGGCUGCCAUCAAUGCUCGAGGAUGCUGGCUCCACACUGGCAGUGUUUGUCCCUUUGAGUCCCCAUGGUUGUUUUCUACAAAGGUUAAGAUGGGCCAGAAUCACUUUGGGACCCUCCGCCCCGGAGGGGUGUUCAGCACUUGCCUCUCCCACUUCUCUCCUGCUUCCUUUGACUCACCAC